This 193-nucleotide transfer-messenger RNA is filed under the name Enterobacter sp. It matches the Rfam family "transfer-messenger RNA", at positions 1 to 181 of the family's 374-position model. Rfam says of the family: Bacterial tmRNA, also known as 10Sa RNA or SsrA, is named for its dual tRNA and mRNA-like properties. Its role is to liberate the mRNA from a stalled ribosome. Lineage: Bacteria; Pseudomonadati; Pseudomonadota; Gammaproteobacteria; Enterobacterales; Enterobacteriaceae. The record is from RNAcentral.
GGGGCUGAUUCUGGAUUCGACGGGAUUUGCGAAACCCAAGGUGCAUGCCGAGGGGCGGUUUGCCUCGUUAAAAGCCGCAAAAAAAUAGUCGCAAACGACGAAAACUACGCUUUAGCAGCUUAAUAACCUGCUCUGAGCCCUCUCUCCCUAGCUUCCGCUCUUAAGACGGGUUCAACUCCCGCCAGCUCCACCA